RNAcentral lists this ribosomal RNA (507 nucleotides) under uncultured bacterium. RNAcentral describes it as "partial 16S ribosomal RNA". It matches the Rfam family "Bacterial small subunit ribosomal RNA", at positions 29 to 523 of the family's 1533-position model. The record is from RNAcentral.
AGUGAACGCUGGCGGUAGGCCUAACACAUGCAAGUCGAACGGCAGCACAGAGGAGCUUGCUCCUUGGGUGGCGAGUGGCGGACGGGUGAGGAAUACAUCGGAAUCUACUCUGUCGUGGGGGAUAACGUAGGGAAACUUACGCUAAUACCGCAUACGACCUACGGGUGAAAGCAGGGGACCUUCGGGCCUUGCGCGAUUGAAUGAGCCGAUGUCGGAUUUAGCUAGUUGGCGGGGUAAAGGCCCACCAAGGCGACGAUCCGCAGCUGGUCUGAGAGGAUGAUCAGCGAAACUGGAACUGAGACACGGUCCAGACUCCUACGGGAGGCAGCAGUGGGGAAUAUUGGACAAUGGGCGCAAGCCUGAUCCAGCCAUACCGCGUGGGUGAAGAAGGCCUUCGGGUUGUAAAGCCCUUUUGUUGGGAAAGAAAUCCAGCUGGCUAAUACCCGGUUGGGAUGACGGUACCCAAAGAAUAAGCACCGGCUAACUUCGUGCCAGCCGCCGCCGUAA